Molecule: transfer RNA, 66 nt
Filed under: Baetis sp. PC-2010
Lineage: Eukaryota; Metazoa; Arthropoda; Insecta; Ephemeroptera; Baetidae
Description: tRNA-Ser
Source: RNAcentral
AACCUGUUAGUUAAAUUAACGUGUGUUUUGAAAGCACAAAAUACGGCGUAAAGACCGUACAGGUUU